This 753-nucleotide long non-coding RNA is filed under the name Capra hircus (goat). RNAcentral's name for it is "lncRNA (ENSCHIG00000006309.1)". The record is from RNAcentral. Lineage: Eukaryota; Metazoa; Chordata; Mammalia; Artiodactyla; Bovidae.
AUGUCUGAUCGGGUGCCCGGGUCUUCUGCGUGCUCCCUGAGGUAUAGGAGUAAGAGCAGUUACAUAGCUGUGUCUGUGCAGCCACAUCCUCUAAAAAACAGAUUUGGACUCCAUGUCUGUGCAGUCAUCUCUUGGGUCCCUAAAGAACAGAGAAGUUGUGGCUCUACGAGCAGGAAGCGUUUCGUCCUGGUCAUCUGGAUGCUCCCAGCCUUGACUCACCCUCAUCUAGGCUUCCCCGUGGCUGCCCAGCACACUGGCUGCCCAAGAUUCAGAUCAAAGCUACUCUCAACCCCUGCUGUGAGGACUUGGAAGCACUCUGGCAGGAGGAGGCACUGGGCCUGCCCCAUCUCUCCCAUCCCCUGCUGGAGCUCUCUUCACCACAGCUCACUCGGGCAUCUGCUUUUGACCUCGGUGCCUUCCCUGCGCGGCGGUGCCUGGUGUCUGGAGGAACGCCAGCUCUUCCUGUCUGCCAAGCUGCCUCUCUUCCAUCACACAAAUGACCUGGGAAACCCCACCUCCCCUCCAGCAGGAGCUCAGUCUCCCUGGACUGAUCACAGGAAAGGUGCUGAUCUGAGGGCACACCGCCCUACACAGGCACCAUGCUUGGCUCGUUCUCAAAGGCCCUUCUGAUACAGGCUUUCUGCUCAAGACUUUCCUUCUGUUUGUGUGCGUCCAAGUGUCCAUCUCUGUCAACAGUUUAAAAAAAUCUUAAAUAGUAAGGCUACUUUUGUUCUCUGUCCUGCACAUUGCCUG